UACAGAGGUCUCAAGCGUUGUUCGGAUUCAUUGGGCGUAAAGGGUGCGUAGGUGGCGGGGUAAGUCAGGUGUGAAAUUUCGGAGCUUAACUCCGAAACUGCAUUUGAUACUGCCUUGCUUGAGGACUGGAGAGGAGAUUGGAAUUCACGGUGUAGCAGUGAAAUGCGCAGAUAUCAGGAGGAACACCGGUGGCGAAGGCGGAUCUCUGGGCCUUACCUGACGCUGAGGCGCGAAAGCUAGGGGAGCAAACAGG
Molecule: ribosomal RNA, 253 nt
Filed under: uncultured bacterium
Lineage: Bacteria
Description: partial 16S ribosomal RNA
Rfam family: Bacterial small subunit ribosomal RNA
Source: RNAcentral